RNAcentral lists this transfer-messenger RNA (358 nucleotides) under Anaerovoracaceae. RNAcentral describes it as "RUG099 sp902774265 Standard tmRNA". It matches the Rfam family "transfer-messenger RNA". From Rfam's summary of the family: Bacterial tmRNA, also known as 10Sa RNA or SsrA, is named for its dual tRNA and mRNA-like properties. Its role is to liberate the mRNA from a stalled ribosome. The record is from RNAcentral. Lineage: Bacteria; Bacillati; Bacillota; Clostridia; Peptostreptococcales. RNAcentral also lists the same sequence under 1 other name.
GGGGACGUACUGGUUUCGACAGGUGUGUGGAACGAAGAGUAGCAUGCCGUGGUGGUGAUCCACGUUAAAAGUACCCGUUAAAAAGAAACGCUAAAACAAACACAAACAAUUUCGCACUGGCUGCAUAGUUCAGCCCCGCGUGUCGGCCUGAGUUCGUCUGCAGGCACAGGAUCCGGCAUCAUUUAUGCAGAAAAACUAAUGCGUGACAUCCCGGCAGCGCAUUAGUAUCUACGGGAUGGUCCGCUGUGAGUCCGCCGUGUGACGCUCAGCGGGCGAGAACCAAAUACCCGGCUAAGCAUGAGAGAAGCUCUUCCGGAAAUGCUCUUGGACGUGGGUUCGAUUCCCACCGUCUCCACCA